CGCAGGCGGCGGUGCUGGCCCGGCGUGAAAGCCCCCGGCUCAACCGGGGAGAGUCGUCGGGGACCGCACCGCUUGAGGGCGGUAGGGGCCGGUGGAAUGCCUGGUGUAGUGGUGAAAUGCGUAGAGAUCAGGCAGAACACCUGGGGCGAAGGCGGCCGGCUGGGCCGUCCCUGACGCUGAGGCGCGAAGGCGUGGGGAGCGAACGGGAUUAGAUACCCCGGUAGUCCACGCAGUAAACGAUGCCGACUAGGCGUGGGGGGAGUUGACCCCCUCCGUGCCGGAGCCAACGCGGGAAGUCGGCCGCCUGGGGAGUACGGCCGCAAGGCUAAA
RNAcentral lists this ribosomal RNA (330 nucleotides) under uncultured bacterium. RNAcentral's name for it is "bacterial SSU rRNA". It matches the Rfam family "Bacterial small subunit ribosomal RNA", at positions 570 to 898 of the family's 1533-position model. The record is from RNAcentral.